GUGAACGCUGGCGGUAGGCCUAACACAUGCCAGUCGAACGGCAGCACAGUAAGAGCUUGCUCUUACGGGUGGCGAGUGGCGGACGGGUGAGGAAUACAUCGGAAUCUACUUUUUCGUGGGGGAUAACGUAGGGAAACUUACGCUAAUACCGCAUACGACCUACGGGUGAAAGCCGGGGAUCUUCGGACCUUGCGCGAUUGAAUGAGCCGAUGUCGGAUUAGCUAGUUGGCGGGGUAAAGGCCCACCAAGGCGACGAUCCGUAGCUGGUCUGAGAGGAUGAUCAGCCACACUGGAACUGAGACACGGUCCAGACUCCUACGGGAGGCAGCAGUGGGGAAUAUUGGACAAUGGGCGCAAGCCUGAUCCAGCCAUACCGCGUGGGUGAAGAAGGCCUUCGGGUUGUAAAGCCCUUUUGUUGGGAAAGAAAAGCAGCAGGUUAAUACCCCGCUGUUCUGACGGUACCCAAAGAAUAAGCACCGGCUAACUUCGUG
RNAcentral lists this ribosomal RNA (491 nucleotides) under uncultured bacterium. RNAcentral describes it as "partial 16S ribosomal RNA". It matches the Rfam family "Bacterial small subunit ribosomal RNA", at positions 29 to 507 of the family's 1533-position model. The record is from RNAcentral.